This 1174-nucleotide long non-coding RNA is filed under the name Mytilus galloprovincialis (Mediterranean mussel). Lineage: Eukaryota; Metazoa; Mollusca; Bivalvia; Mytilida; Mytilidae. The record is from RNAcentral.
AUCAGUGGCGUAGCUUGCAUGUAUGCUCAGAUGCUCAAGCAUCCACAUCAUUUUGACCAAAAAAAAUAAAAUAGCAGCAGUUUAACUCGGAAGUAUCCAAAUUUCACAAGGCUGAGGAUAUGAGGAUAACGUCCAGUCAUUUACGAAGCAGUAUGCCUGGUCUUUCAUUUGAUAAUUUAGUUUAUGUAAACAAGAUAGCCACAGAAUAGUGUUUCAAGUUAACUUUUGUUCGUAAAAAAAGUCUACGUCAUCGGCUAAGACAAGCGGAGUGGACUGAUACGCAGACCCGUGGACAUGUUUCAUCUGAAAUUGAACCUAGUGGAGUGAUGGCUUCUCAUUUGACUAUAGCAACUAACAACUAAAACACCAUAUCCUGAUAUUGUUUCUUGCGACAUGGUAAACGACGUGAUAAAAAAAAAAUCAAUUUGUAAUAGAUCGUGAUAAGUCCUAGGCUUAUGAAUUCCCUUUUCUAUCUAGGUUCAAAUACUAAUUAUAUUUUCAAUCAGUAAAGAACAAAGAUCCAAUGUUCCCCGCCAUGCACAUCAGAUGUCAUAUUUUAUCUAUCAAAGGGCAAGGAACAAGGGAAUAACUAAAAAAGCACUUUUUUUUUCUUUUUCUUUUUUAUUUUCAAUAUCUUAAGAGAAAUAAAAGCUUCACAGCAAAUGAAAUGGGAUUUCCAUUACAAUUUAUAUUUCAAAGGGUCAUAACUGGUUAAAAAUAUUUGAUAACGACUUAUUUUCCAAAUUGUCAAAAGAUUGCUUAUGAUAGGAGUUUCACUUAAUCUGACAAGAAUUGUACACAUGAGAGUGCUAACAAGACCGGACGAUUGGACGCCCGGAAUUUUUAUGUCUCCUGCAACACGUUUAGCUCAGUAAUCAAAAAUCAACAACUCAAGGUUGUAGACUCAAAUUCCUGGUUAGAGAAAUCACUUCAGUUCCUAUAUUCCGAAGUUCCUAAAUUAUACAGAAGUGCCGCUGUAAUGGGAUCCGUUUUUGAUAUGUCAAAUAUAAGAUUGGGUGGGAAACUUUACAUCAAAUAUUUAUGAAUUGAAUGAUGGUAGUUUCGAGGAAACAAUAAAAUCUGGUUAAAAAUAUAAACAUAUGAAUUGGUGGGUAUUUUGAAUUUAAACAAAAAUCUAACUAGUGUCGGAUUCUGGGGGAGUACAUGUGCUUAA